This 426-nucleotide long non-coding RNA is filed under the name Mytilus galloprovincialis (Mediterranean mussel). The record is from RNAcentral. Lineage: Eukaryota; Metazoa; Mollusca; Bivalvia; Mytilida; Mytilidae.
GGGGGACAGGGUUGUCUUUUUUCAUAUUUUCUAUUGAAUAACUUCAAUCCUACGGAUACCAGAUCUUUAUAAAUAAAGUGUUACUAUUAAUCCAUCAUUCUGAAGAAGGUCUGUGAAGGAGCGAAACCAGUCUGGUUAUGAAUCAUUAUCAGGCUCUGUUAAUUAUAUGUUUUGGCAUAUUCUAUAUUUAAUAUACUACAUUUUUAAAGACAGUAGUUCAUAAGAAGAUAAAGCAGUAUGACAUUGCAGUAGAUGAUAUGUUCAUUCAAAUGUAAAACUAUGGCAGUGUUUGCUUUGAAAUUGCUUGACUCAUAUUGUUAUUGGUUUAAUAAGACUUGUUUUAUAUCUAUUGGUGUGUUUAACACUGUUAACAAGGCAUUUACAGAUUGUUUACUGUAUAAGCAACAUUAGAUAGAAAUACAUUUG